Molecule: ribosomal RNA, 755 nt
Filed under: uncultured bacterium
Lineage: Bacteria
Description: bacterial SSU rRNA
Rfam family: Bacterial small subunit ribosomal RNA
Source: RNAcentral
UGAGGAAUGAUUCUUCGGAUGAAAGCCUCUUUGACUGAGUGGCGGACGGGUGAGUAACGCGUGGGUAACCUGCCUCACACAGGGGGAUAACAGUUGGAAACGACCGCUAAUACCGCAUAACCCGCUGGCACCGCAUGGUGCUGACGGAAAAGAUUUUAUCGGUGUGAGAUGGACCCGCGUCUGAUUAGCCAGUUGGCAGGGUAACGGCCUACCAAAGCGACGAUCAGUAGCCGGCCUGAGAGGGUGAACGGCCACAUUGGGACUGAGACACGGCCCAAACUCCUACGGGAGGCAGCAGUGGGGAAUAUUGCACAAUGGGGGAAACCCUGAUGCAGCGACGCCGCGUGAGUGAAGAAGUAUUUCGGUAUGUAAAGCUCUAUCAGCAGGGAAGAAAAUGACGGUACCUGACUAAGAAGCCCCGGCUAACUACGUGCCAGCAGCCGCGGUAAUACGUAGGGGGCAAGCGUUAUCCGGAUUUACUGGGUGUAAAGGGAGCGUAGACGGCAGAGCAAGUCAGAAGUGAAAGCCCGCGGCUCAACUGCGGGACUGCUUUUGAAACUGCCCUGCUGGAGUGCAGGAGAGGUAAGCGGAAUUCCUGGUGUAGCGGUGAAAUGCGUAGAUAUCAGGAGGAACACCAGUGGCGAAGGCGGCUUACUGGACUGUAACUGACGUUGAGGCUCGAAAGCGUGNGGAGCAAACAGGAUUAGAUACCCUGGUNGUCCACGCCGUAAACGAUGAAUAUUAGGUGUCGGGGG